CGCCUUCCUCCACAGGCAGAAUUAGGACAGCGUUGAACACCGCAGAGAGAUACAGAACAGCACUCGGUAACAAACGCGUGGGAC
This is a long non-coding RNA of Pygocentrus nattereri (red-bellied piranha), 84 nucleotides long. The record is from Ensembl. NCBI's taxonomy places the organism in Eukaryota, Metazoa, Chordata, Actinopteri, Characiformes, Serrasalmidae.